RNAcentral lists this ribosomal RNA (376 nucleotides) under uncultured bacterium. RNAcentral's name for it is "bacterial SSU rRNA". It matches the Rfam family "Bacterial small subunit ribosomal RNA", at positions 521 to 895 of the family's 1533-position model. The record is from RNAcentral.
UAAUACAGAGGGUGCGAGCGUUGUCCGGAAUCACUGGGCGUAAAGGGCGCGUAGGUGGCUGUGUAAGUCGGGGGUGAAAUGCUGCGGCUCAACCGCAGCGCUGCCUCCGAGACUGCACGGCUUGAGCACGGUAGAGGCCGAUGGAAUUCCCGGUGUAGCGGUGGAAUGCGUAGAGAUCGGGAAGAACACCGAUGGCGAAGGCAGUCGGCUGGGCCGUUGCUGACACUGAGGCGCGACAGCGUGGGGAGCAAACAGGAUUAGAUACCCUGGUAGUCCACGCCGUAAACGAUGGGCACUAGGCGUCGGGGGGAGCGACCCUCCCGGUGCCGUCGCUAACGCACUAAGUGCCCCGCCUGGGGAGUACGGCCGCAAGGUU